Molecule: non-coding RNA, 23 nt
Filed under: Arabidopsis thaliana (thale cress)
Lineage: Eukaryota; Viridiplantae; Streptophyta; Magnoliopsida; Brassicales; Brassicaceae
Source: RNAcentral
UGGUAUCCUCAAUGGUUAUGCCA